CAAAGCGGGGGCUCAUGCAUCAUGGCGACUUUGUUAGACAUCAGACUUAUUAUGACUUGAAGGACAGCUUGGAAACUGGCCUUUCCGGUCUAAACUCGGUCUUCCUGAAACUUCUUGAACAGACGUCUGCCAAUGUUACAAGCAGACGAUCGUCGUCAACCGCCUCAGAGGGCGUGAAUGGUAUCGACGUCUCGUCAACUGGUUAAGAGGUUCUACAGCGUCACAGUAUUAUACAACAUAGACAAGAACAAAGACUUCACCCAACAUGAGAUGUACCACCCAGACGUUGGUGAAGCUGUUCCUGUGUGUGGUCAUCACCAUCUUCAUCUGUCGUUACUUUUACACCAAUACCUCCCACAGCAUACCCCUCAACGAUGUUCCCACUGUGGAGGUGUCUCCUCCAACCGUUAAGCCUUUACCUUACAAUAUCGCCAGGAUAGCCUUCAAGGAAUACCAUCCUUCAGGGGACCAACGCGGUGACAAAGUUAAACUCAUUUUUGCGUACGCCCCCGACCUCAGCUACGCACGCCGUGACCAACACAUUUAUCCCCUGAAUUGCGGUGAUGUUCGCUGCGCUUCCACCACGAGAGGAACAUAUCUCCGAGACAGUCAUGCUGUAAUGUUUUCUAGCACAUUUCUAGAGAGACACCCACUUCCCAAAAUUGAUAGACGUCUACAUGGAAAAGUGUUUCUAUUUUUUGAAAACCGGCCCCAUGUUCCCGAAAUUGCCAGAAAGCUUGAAUCAACUUUAAGUGACAAAUCAGUUUUUAAUUGGACGAUUGGUUACACAAGAGAUGCUGAUAUUCGAAUAUCUUAUGGAACCAUUGUCAAGAAAAAGGCGGUCCCUUUAUAUAACCUUACAACCGUUGUCUCGAGGAAGAAGAGAACAGUUGUCAUCUUUCAGCAGAGUUGCAAGACUCCGAGCCGCCUGGAAGAGUAUCUCCAACAACUUCGCAAAUAUGUAAAGGUCGAUGUAUACGGACCUUGUGUAAACCGGACCCUCUGUAAUCAGGACCUGGACUGUUUUAUCAAGGUCGGCCGAGAAUAUAAAUUCUAUCUAGCGUUUGAGGAGGUGUUCUGCUCUGAAUACAUAAGUAAUGUGUUCUUCCGGUUUUAUGGGACCGAAACUGUGCCUAUAGUACGAGGGGGUGGGGACUAUUCCAACGUUGUCCCCAAAGGAACAUAUAUUAACACAGCAGAUUAUAAAUCCAUCGCCGAGUUAGGAAGAUAUAUUCAAUACUUGGAUAAGAAUGACACAGCGUAUAUAGAAAUCUUGAAGAAGAAGCGAUAUUAUGAUGCAGUAUAUUCGCGGCAACAGAUUGUCCGAUGGGAAGACAAAAAGUUUAUACGACAUAUUUAUAUGAAUAUGGGCAAUAUGAUGUGUGACAUCUGUAAGCGACUGUGGAACGUGGACGACUACAGGAAAACCUACAGCGACAUCCUCUCCUGGUACGGAAGCUCCAAGUGCACAAAACCGCUGGAUCUUGAAUCUCGGAAACCGGUUUCUACACGUGCUUCUAACUCUACAGCCGUGAUAAAUUAACUCAGUAUUCAGUAACCAAAAUUCGGGAAACCGUUGGGUGAUAAAUGAAGAAAGGAAUUAAUCAUUAACUGGAUCAUCCAGUGGUUACAUCGUUUGCUCGUCACGCCGAAGACCCGGGUUCGAUUCCAUCCUGGGAUCCGUUACGCAGAGCAAGCGUAACGCUGAGGCUGUCGUAAACCCUUUACCAUUGGCAUGAACUUACGACUUUGGUAGAGGUACGAUACUUACACAUGGACUUACGAGAAGCGUAACUUUACGAACUCUUGUGUUCCUCAGAGCAAUCUUAAUGUUACGACUAACGCAGGUCAAUAUUAAAAGUAUCGGACCUACUUAGCAUUGCGACGAGGACCAAGAUAGGCAGUGACGCAUGAGUGAGUGAGUGAGUGAAUUUAGUUUUACGCUGUUUUUAACACUAUUCCAGCAAUAUCACGACAGGGGACGCCAGAAAUGGGCUUCACGCAUUGUGCCCAUGUGGGGAAUCGAACCCGUGUCUUCGGCGCGACGAGUGAAUACUUUACCCACUACGCUCCCCCUCCGCCCCAGUGACAACUGGCCAAAUCUAUGUCGACCGUACGACAACCAUUUGGAGAUCGGUGUGUUUGAGAAGUCUUGCAACAUUUAAUAUUCACAUUCAACUUGUUACAGUAAUAUAUGAAACACUGAUCUUGUUUUGAUGAAUCUGGGAUACAUCGUGUUGUACAUGUGUUUUGAUCUUGUACAUGUGUUUUGAUCUUGUACGUGUGUUUUGAUCUUGUACGUUAUGCAUGCGUUUUGAUCUUGUUAUGCAUGCGUUUUGAUCUUGUUAUGCAUGCGUUUUGAUCUUAUUGUGCAUGUCUUUUUGAUCUUGUACAUGUGUUUUGGUCUUAUUGUUCAUGUGUAAAAGGAGUUUUGUUUGGCUCUGCAGGU
RNAcentral lists this unclassified non-coding RNA (2449 nucleotides) under Haliotis rubra (blacklip abalone). RNAcentral's name for it is "alpha-(1,3)-fucosyltransferase fut-3-like, transcript variant X3". The record is from RNAcentral. Lineage: Eukaryota; Metazoa; Mollusca; Gastropoda; Lepetellida; Haliotidae.